AGAGUUUGAUCCUGGCUCAGGAUGAACGUUGGCGGUGCGCCUAAUACAUGCAAGUCGAACGAGAAACUUGGAUUUAUUCAAGUGGAAAGUGGCGGACGAGCGAGUAACACGUAAGAACCUGCCCUGUACUCGGGGAUAACCUGGCGAAAGUCGGGCUAAUACCGGAUGGUCCCCUCACCUUUUUUCAUAAACUGUAAAAAAAACAGAUUGAACCACAACUUUGUGGAAAAAGGUGAGGGGUAAAGAUUUAUCGGUACGGGAGGGGCUUGCGGCUUAUCAGCUAGUUGGUGAGGUAAAUGCUUACCAAGGCUAUGACGAGUAACUGGUGUGAGAGCACGAUCAGUCGCGAUGGGACUGAGAUACGGCCCAUACUUCUACGGAAGGCAGCAGUAGGGAAUCUUCCGCAAUGGACGAAAGUCUGACGGAGCGACACCGCGUGAAGGAUGAAGCAUUUCGGUGUGUAAACUUCUUUUCUGGGGGAAGAAAAUCUGACGGUACCCCAGGAAUAAGGACCGGCUAAUCACGUGCCAGCAGCCGCGGUAAUACGUGAGGUCCGAACGUUAUCCGGAAUUGUUGGGCGUAAAGCGUCCGCAGGUGGUGAAAAAAGUCUGUCAUUAAAUACCAGAGCUCAACUUUGGUGCUGUGAUGGAAACUUUUUCGCUAGAGGAUGGGAGAGGUAUAUGGAAUUGUGCAAGUAGGGGUAAAAUCCGUAGAUAU
This 717-nucleotide ribosomal RNA is filed under the name uncultured bacterium. Its description in RNAcentral is "bacterial SSU rRNA". It matches the Rfam family "Bacterial small subunit ribosomal RNA", at positions 8 to 697 of the family's 1533-position model. The record is from RNAcentral.